UACGUAGGUGACAAGCGUUGUCCGGAUUUACUGGGCGUAAAGAGCGCGCAGGCGGUCGAUUAAGUCGAGUGUGAAAGCCCCCGGCUCAACUGGGGAGGGUCAUUCGAUACUGAUCGACUCGAAGGCAGGAGAGGGUAGUGGAAUUCCCGGUGUAGUGGUGAAAUGCGUAGAUAUCGGGAGGAACACCAGUGGCGAAGGCGACUACCUGGCCUGUUCUUGACGCUGAGGCGCGAAAGCUAGGGGAGCAAACAGG
RNAcentral lists this ribosomal RNA (253 nucleotides) under uncultured bacterium. Its description in RNAcentral is "partial 16S ribosomal RNA". It matches the Rfam family "Bacterial small subunit ribosomal RNA", at positions 524 to 776 of the family's 1533-position model. The record is from RNAcentral.